This is a long non-coding RNA of Sinocyclocheilus rhinocerous, 371 nucleotides long. RefSeq lists it as uncharacterized. NCBI's taxonomy places the organism in Eukaryota, Metazoa, Chordata, Actinopteri, Cypriniformes, Cyprinidae. The transcript has 2 exons. The record is from RefSeq and is a predicted model, not a curated record.
GUUGAAUCAUCCUAUUAUCCGGGUCAAACUCCCAUAUGUUAUCAUAGUCCAUUUCCUGGUCAUCUGGAUCCACUGGCUGAAGAGAGGCUCUGAAUGUCUUACAGGAUCUCCCACUUGUGAGCUUUAAAUCACCCUCUGUGGUAAUUCUGUCCUUUCGCUGGUCUUUCCUUCAUGUGCCACCUGCAGUGCUGUCAUUUAAAAUACCCUGGGCCUGAGCCAUAUUACACACACAAACAUACACACACAUGCCCCUUCAUCUGCACUCUUGUUUCCACUGCCAUGUCCUGCCUGGGCAACCACACACCCCAUCAAACCCUGUGUGUGUGUGUGUGUGUGUGUGUGUGUGUGUGUGUGCGCUGGAGAAGGUCAUU